UACGUAGGGUGCAAGCGUUAUCCGGAAUUAUUGGGCGUAAAGAGCUCGUAGGCGGUUUGUCGCGUCUGCUGUGAAAACCCGAGGCUCAACCUCGGGCCUGCAGUGGGUACGGGCAGACUAGAGUGCGGUAGGGGAGAUUGGAAUUCCUGGUGUAGCGGUGGAAUGCGCAGAUAUCAGGAGGAACACCGAUGGCGAAGGCAGGUCUCUGGGCCGCAACUGACGCUGAGGAGCGAAAGCAUGGGGAGCGAACAGG
Molecule: ribosomal RNA, 253 nt
Filed under: uncultured bacterium
Lineage: Bacteria
Description: partial 16S ribosomal RNA
Rfam family: Bacterial small subunit ribosomal RNA
Source: RNAcentral